GAGGUGGGAUUACUCAGACAGCCAGGAGGUUGGCUUAGAAGCAGCCAUCCUUUAAAGAAAGCGUAAUAGCUCACUGGUCGAGUGACCCCGCGCAAAAAAUGUAACGGGGCUCAAGCAUAGUGCCGAAGUCGUAGAUGCCAGAUUCCUGCGGGAGACUGGCGUGGUAGGAGAGCGUUCUCAAGUAGAUACAAGGUAGACCGUGAGGACUGCUGACGGACUUGAGAAGUGAUUAUGCUGACACGAGUAAGCGAUAAAACGGGUGAAAAACCCGUUCGCCGUAAGCCUAAGGGUUCCUGGGUAAAGUUCGUCUUCCCAGGUUUAGUCGGACCCUAAGCCGAGGCCGAAAGGCGUAGGCGAUGGAAACCAGGUCAAUAUUCCUGGACCUGCUUUAGUGCGUUAUUAACUAAGGAGGGACGGAGAAGGAUAGGUCAGUCGGGUGUUGGACAUCCCGAUUCAAGCCGGUAGGUUCGGAGUGUAGGUAAAUCCGCAUUCCUUAUACCGAGAGGCGAGUACGAGGGCGAAAGCCCAUAAAGUGACUGAUUCCAUGCUUCCGAGAAAAGCUUCGUAGUGAGUACUAAGGUGGACCGUACCGCAAACCGACACAGGUAGGCAGGAAGAAAAUUCUAAGGCGCUUGAGAGAACCAUGGUUAAGGAACUCGGCAAAUUGUGUCCGUAACUUCGGGAGAAGGACAGCUCCUUUUGGUGUAGGGAUUUACUCCUGAAGCUAAGGGGAGUCGCAGAGAAUAGGGGAUUGCAACUGUUUAUCAAAAACACAGGUCUGUGCAAACUCGGAAGAGGACGUAUACAGACUGACGCCUGCCCAGUGCUGGAAGGUUAAGAGGAGAAGUUAGCUUCGGCGAAGCUUCGAAUCGAAGCCCUAGUAAACGGCGGCCGUAACUAUAACGGUCCUAAGGUAGCGAAAUUCCUUGUCGGGUAAGUUCCGACCCGCACGAAUGGCGUAAUGACAUUCCCACUGUCUCAACCAUGGGCUCAGCGAAACUGGACUAUCGGUGCAAAUACCGAUUACCCGCAGUUAGACGGAAAGACCCUGUGCACCUUUACUAUAACUUGGCAGUGAGUUUUUGAAUUAACUGUGUAGGAUAGGUGGGAGACUUUGAGAUGAGGGCGCCAGCUCUCAUGGAGUCACCCUUGAAAUACCACCCUGUUGAUUUGAGAAUUCUAACUCUGAGCCACUUAAAAAUCUGGUUCGAGGACAUUGUCUGGUGGGUAGUUUGACUGGGGCGGUCGCCUCCCAAAGAGUAACGGAGGCGUGCGAAGGUUCUCUCAGGCUGAUUGGAAACCAGCCGUCGAGUGCAAAGGCAUAAGAGAGCUUAACUGCGAGACUGACAGGUCGAGCAGGUACGAAAGUAGGUCUUAGUGAUCCGGUGGUUCUGAAUGGAAGGGCCAUCGCUCAACGGAUAAAAGGUACUCCGGGGAUAACAGGCUGAUUCUGGCCAAGCGUUCAUAGCGACGCCAGAGUUUGGCACCUCGAUGUCGACUCAUCGCAUCCUGGGGCUGUAGAAGGUCCCAAGGGUUUGGCUGUUCGCCAAUUAAAGCGGUACGUGAGUUGGGUUCAGAACGUCGUGAGACAGUUCGGUCCCUAUCUGCUGUGGGUGUAGGAUACUUGAGGAGAGCUUUCCCUAGUACGAGAGGACCGGGAAGGACGAACCGCUGGUGUGCCAGUUGUCUCGCCAGAGGCAUUAGCUGGGUAGCUAUGUUCGGAACGGAGAAGCGCUGAAAGCAUCUAAGUGCGAAACCGACUCCAAAACAAGGUAUCCCUGGAACUUCAGUUCCCUAAAGACCCCUCGAAGACUACGAGGUUGAUAGGCUGGAUGUGGAAGCGCAGCGAUGCGUGGAGCUUACCAGUACUAAUUGGUCGUGAGGCUUAAUCAUAAAG
Molecule: ribosomal RNA, 1897 nt
Filed under: Bradymonadales bacterium
Lineage: Bacteria; Deltaproteobacteria; Bradymonadales
Description: partial 23S ribosomal RNA
Rfam family: Bacterial large subunit ribosomal RNA
Source: RNAcentral